Molecule: RNase P RNA, 375 nt
Filed under: Salmonella enterica subsp. enterica serovar Muenchen
Lineage: Bacteria; Pseudomonadati; Pseudomonadota; Gammaproteobacteria; Enterobacterales; Enterobacteriaceae
Also listed under: 1 other name
Description: RNase P RNA component class A
Rfam family: Bacterial RNase P class A
About the family: Ribonuclease P (RNase P) is a ubiquitous endoribonuclease, found in archaea, bacteria and eukarya as well as chloroplasts and mitochondria. Its best characterised activity is the generation of mature 5'-ends of tRNAs by cleaving the 5'-leader elements of precursor-tRNAs.
Source: RNAcentral
GAAGCUGACCAGACAGUCGCCGCUUCGUCGUCGUCCUUUCGGGGAGACGGGCGGAGGGGAGGAAAGUCCGGGCUCCAUAGGGCAGGGUGCCAGGUAACGCCUGGGGGGGAAACCCACGACCAGUGCAACAGAGAGCAAACCGCCGAUGGCCCACGUAAGUGGGAUCAGGUAAGGGUGAAAGGGUGCGGUAAGAGCGCACCGCGCGGCUGGUAACAGCCCGUGGCACGGUAAACUCCACCCGGAGCAAGGCCAAAUAGGGGUUCAUAAGGUACGGCCCGUACUGAACCCGGGUAGGCUGCUUGAGCCAGUGAGCGAUUGCUGGCCUAGAUGAAUGACUGUCCACGACAGAACCCGGCUUAUCGGUCAGUUUCACUU